This 882-nucleotide ribosomal RNA is filed under the name Cystodiscus cf. immersus Brazil 1. RNAcentral's name for it is "bacterial SSU rRNA". It matches the Rfam family "Eukaryotic small subunit ribosomal RNA", at positions 328 to 1079 of the family's 1831-position model. Lineage: Eukaryota; Metazoa; Cnidaria; Myxozoa; Bivalvulida; Myxidiidae. The record is from RNAcentral.
GUAAGGUAGUGGCCUACCAAGGUUAUUACGGGUAACGGGGAAUCAGGGUUCGAUUCCGGAGAGGGAGCCUGAGAAACGGCUACCACAUCCAAGGAAGGCAGCAGGCGCGCAAAUUACCCAAUCCAGACACUGGGAGGUGGUGACGAGAAAUACCGGGUCGUGCCCAAAAGGUUUCGACACUGGAAUGGGUGGAAUUUAAGAAUUUCCACGAGUAGCAACUGGAGGGCAAGUCUGGUGCCAGCAGCCGCGGUAAUUCCAGCUCCAGUAGUGUAUCUUAAAGUUGCUGCGGUUAAAACGCUCGUAGUUGGACAAGAGAGCGAUCAGGUGCGGGCGGGGAGUAAGCCUACCCUGUACUAGCUGGGAUGGCUGGUUGACAUUAACGUGUCAGUCGGUUGUCCAUUCGCUAGACAGGAGUACUACUUGUCGACCAUGCUGCCUGGUCGCUUGUUUGAUCGUGAGAAUGUCAUAUGGCCUUAAAUGUGCUGUGUGACGUGUCUUACGUAGUGUGCCUUGAAUAAAUCAGAGUGCUCAAAGCAAGCUUACGCUUGAAUGUUAAUAGCAUGGAACGAAUGUUUUGUGAAAGCGUAGGUAGUGGGUUUACUUGUAUUCCUGCUACUUACGCAGCACCAACUCCGAAUCGGAACAUUGGUAGCCGACUUCGGGUGAUGAUUAAGAGGGACAUUUGGGGGCAUUAGUAUUUGGACGCGAGAGGUGAAAUUCUUGGACCGUCCAAGGACUAACAAGUGCGAAAGCAUUUGCCAAGUAUGUUCCCUUUAAUCAAGAACGAAAGUGAGAGGUUCGAAGACGAUCAGAUACCGUCCUAGUUCUCACCGUAAACGAUGCCAACCCGGGAUCAGCUCGGAUGUAAAUUUUUGGAUCCAG